This 463-nucleotide ribosomal RNA is filed under the name Vreelandella stevensii. Its description in RNAcentral is "partial 16S ribosomal RNA". It matches the Rfam family "Bacterial small subunit ribosomal RNA", at positions 338 to 795 of the family's 1533-position model. The record is from RNAcentral. Lineage: Bacteria; Pseudomonadati; Pseudomonadota; Gammaproteobacteria; Oceanospirillales; Halomonadaceae.
CCUACGGGGGGCUGCAGUGGGGAAUAUUGGACAAUGGGGGCAACCCUGAUCCAGCCAUGCCGCGUGUGAAGAAGGCCCUCGGGUUGUAAAGCACUUUCAGUGAGGAAGAACGCCUGGUGGUUAAUACCCAUCAGGAAAGACAUCACUCACAGAAGAAGCACCGGCUAACUCCGUGCCAGCAGCCGCGGUAAUACGGAGGGUGCGAGCGUUAAUCGGAAUUACUGGGCGUAAAGCGCGCGUAGGUGGCUUGAUAAGCCGGUUGUGAAAGCCCCGGGCUCAACCUGGGAACGGCAUCCGGAACUGUCAAGCUAGAGUGCAGGAGAGGAAGGUAGAAUUCCCGGUGUAGCGGUGAAAUGCGUAGAGAUCGGGAGGAAUACCAGUGGCGAAGGCGGCCUUCUGGACUGACACUGACACUGAGGUGCGAAAGCGUGGGUAGCAAACAGGAUUAGAUACCCGAGUAGUC